CGCUCUUCGCAAAAGGUUUUAGUGUAUGAGGAGUCCUGCCUGCCCAGUGACCUUUAGGUUAAACGGCCGCGGUAUUUUGACCGUGCAAAGGUAGCAUAAUCAUUUGCCUCUUAAAUAGAGGCUGGUAUGAAUGGCAAGACGGGGGUUUGACUGUCUCUUUCUUAGGAAGGUUGAAUUUGAUUUCUUUGUGAAGAAGCAGAGAUAAUAUCGUAGGACGAGAAGACCCUGUCGAGCUUAAGUAGUAGUAGUUAAGUAUUGGAAGUAUUUUUAUGCUAAUUUAUUCUCUGGAAGAGGGUAAAAAUUUUACAUAAAAUAUGAGUAUAUUAUAUUAUUUUAUACUUUGAUUGGGGCAAUCGCGGAGAAAAUGAAACCUCCGUUAUAAGUAAUAGUAUUUUAAAGAGACUUCUUUUGUAGUACAAGAAUGUGUGUUUAUGAUCCACAGAAAGUGAAUAAA
RNAcentral lists this ribosomal RNA (454 nucleotides) under Pergamaster incertus. Its description in RNAcentral is "partial 16S ribosomal RNA". It matches the Rfam family "Bacterial large subunit ribosomal RNA", at positions 1816 to 2437 of the family's 2925-position model. Lineage: Eukaryota; Metazoa; Echinodermata; Asteroidea; Valvatida; Goniasteridae. The record is from RNAcentral.